AUGACUGUCUCCGCCUCUGUUUGCCUUCUCUUCUGUUUUGUUUGUCUCAAGGCGCCAUCUUCUACAGCUUCCUCCUCUGGCUGGCCUCCUCUUCCUCGCACUCUCUUUUCUUUCUUUCUGUUCUUUCUUUUUAUUUAUUUAACCAGUUGUGACGCUUCCCUCGGUUUGUCUGCUGCUGUUGGAGUUCAUGUUGAUGAAGAGGGUUUUUCUCGAGACUGCAAAGAUUCCUUGUGUGAAUAAAUCUGGAGGAUGGCACAAAAUGCACUGCUAAAACUGGAGUGAGCCAGGAGAGACCAGAGAAACGACAGCAGAGGAACAGUGUCAUCCUUCCUUCAUCAUCUAACUGGAAGUGCAAAAGCUCAGAUUAGUAAAUUCUUCUGAAGGUGGUUACUGCCAUUAUUGUUGUUAUUUCUGAUCUGAUAGAUGAAAAAAAUCUUAAUUUCUCUUAAUCUCUAUUUUAUGUUGCGUAUAGAGUCAUUGUGAGAAUAGUACAUUCAGAUUAGUAUCAUCAGAUUAGUAAAUUUAUAUGAAGUUAGUUACUGCCAUUAUUAUUGUUAUUCCUGACUUGAUAGUUUAAUGAGAUCUGAAUUUAUCUUAUCCUUUAUUUUAUUUUUCUUAUAGAUUCCUUGUGUCAAUAAAUCCGGAGGAUGGCACA
RNAcentral lists this long non-coding RNA (655 nucleotides) under Betta splendens (Siamese fighting fish). RNAcentral describes it as "lncRNA (ENSBSLG00000005340.1)". Lineage: Eukaryota; Metazoa; Chordata; Actinopteri; Anabantiformes; Osphronemidae. The record is from RNAcentral.